RNAcentral lists this ribosomal RNA (526 nucleotides) under Microplontus rugulosus. RNAcentral's name for it is "partial 16S ribosomal RNA". It matches the Rfam family "Bacterial large subunit ribosomal RNA", at positions 1809 to 2611 of the family's 2925-position model. Lineage: Eukaryota; Metazoa; Arthropoda; Insecta; Coleoptera; Curculionidae. The record is from RNAcentral.
AAAAACAUGGCCUUUUGAGUAUAAUUUAAGGUCUGACCUGCUCAAUGAAUUUUAAAUAGCCGCAGUAUCUUGACUGUGCAAAGGUAGCAUAAUCAUUAGUUUCUUAAUUAGAAGCUGGAAUGAAGGGUUGAAUGAGAAAAUUUCUGUCUCUAUAAAAAUUUUAUAGAACUUUAUUUUUAAGUAAAAAAGCUUAAAUUUUAAUAAAAGACGAGAAGACCCUAUAGAGUUUUAUAUUUAGAAAUUAUAAUUUUUUUAGUAUUUUAAAGUUUAUUUUUUUAAAAUAUUUAGUUGGGGUGAUUGGAAAAUUUAAUAAACUUUUCUUAAUAAAUACAUUUAUUUAUGAAAAUAUGAACCUUUUUUUGGAUUAUAAGAUAAAAUUACCUUAGGGAUAACAGCGUAAUUUUUUUUGAGAGUUCUUAUCGAAAAAAAAGAUUGCGACCUCGAUGUUGGAUUAAAAUAAAUAUUUGGUGUAGAAGCUAAAUUAAUUAGGUCUGUUCGACCUUUAAAAUUUUACUUGAUCUGAGUU